UGGGGAAUUUUGGACAAUGGGGGAAACCCUGAUCCAGCCAUCCCGCGUGUGCGAUGAAGGCCUUCGGGUUGUAAAGCACUUUUGGCAGGAAAGAAACGUCGCGGGUUAAUACCCCGCGAAACUGACGGUACCUGCAGAAUAAGCACCGGCUAACUACGUGCCAGCAGCCGCGGUAAUACGUAGGGUGCAAGCGUUAAUCGGAAUUACUGGGCGUAAAGNUGCGCAGGCGGUUCGGAAAGAAAGAUGUGAAAUCCCAGAGCUUAACUUUGGAACUGCAUUUUUAACUACCGGGCUAGAGUGCGUCAGAGGGAGGUGGAAUUCCGCGUGUAGCAGUGAAAUGCGUAGAUAUGCGGAGGAACACCGAUGGCGAAGGCAGCCUCCUGGGAUAACACUGACGCUCAUGCACGAAAGCGUGGGGAGCAAACAGGAUUAGAUACCCUGGUAGUCCACGCCCUAAACGAUGUCAACUAGCUGUUGGGGCCUUCGGGCCUUGGUAGCGCAGCUAACGCGUGAAGUUGACCGCCUGGGGAGUACGGUCGCAAGAUU
This 546-nucleotide ribosomal RNA is filed under the name uncultured bacterium. Its description in RNAcentral is "partial 16S ribosomal RNA". It matches the Rfam family "Bacterial small subunit ribosomal RNA", at positions 355 to 895 of the family's 1533-position model. The record is from RNAcentral.